GAUGAACGCUGGCGGCGUGCUUAACACAUGCAAGUCGAACGGACAGGCCCUGCUUUUGUGGGGUGCUCGAGUGGCGAACGGGUGAGUAACACGUGUGUAUCCUGCCCUUGUAUUUCGGGUAACUUCACGAAACUGGGGCUCAUACCGGAUAGGAGCUCCUGCUGCAUGGUGGGGGUUGGAAAGUUUCGGCGGUUGGGGCUGGAAUGGCGGCUUAUCCGCUAGUUGGUGGGGUAGUGGCUUACCCAGGUUGUGACGGGUAGCCGGCCUGAGAGGGUAGACGGGCACAUGGGGACUGAGAGACGGCGCAGACGCGAACGGGAGGCAACAGGGGGAAGUAUUGCACAGUGGGCGGGAGCGAGUGGCGGCAACGCCGCGUGCGGAAAGACGGCCUUCGGGUUAAAAACCGCUGUCGCCUGAGACGAGGCGGGAGUGACGGUAAUGGAUAAAGAAGCACCGGCUAACUACGUG
RNAcentral lists this ribosomal RNA (468 nucleotides) under uncultured bacterium. RNAcentral describes it as "partial 16S ribosomal RNA". It matches the Rfam family "Bacterial small subunit ribosomal RNA", at positions 28 to 507 of the family's 1533-position model. The record is from RNAcentral.